AGUCACUGACAUUAGAUACCCGCGUAGUCCAGGGUGUAAACGCUGCAGACUUGGUGUUGGAAGCCCUUUGGGGGCAUUCAGUGCCGGAGAGAAGUUGUUAAGUCUGCUACUUGGGAGUACGUCCGCAAGGAUGAAACUUAAAGGAAUUGGCGGGGGAGCACCGCAACGGGAGGAGCGUGCGGUUUAAUUGGAUUCAACACCGUAAACUCACCAGGGAAGACUGUUACAUGAAAGCCGAGAUGAAGACUCUGCUAGAUUUUCAG
Molecule: ribosomal RNA, 263 nt
Filed under: uncultured archaeon
Lineage: Archaea
Description: partial 16S ribosomal RNA
Rfam family: Archaeal small subunit ribosomal RNA
Source: RNAcentral